CUGUCCAAAGGCAGAGUUCCAUUGUGACACUCCAGAAUGCUGUCCUUUGAAACCAUUUGAAAUGAAAGACAGGACAUAGAGUGAACAUGGGAUUUAGGAAAGUGGAGGACUAUGAGAAAGACAAUUUUGGUCAGAGUCUUAUUCAAGAAUGGGAACUUGGAAGAACAUGUGGAAAUAAAU
Homo sapiens (human) is the source of this 180-nucleotide long non-coding RNA. NCBI's taxonomy places the organism in Eukaryota, Metazoa, Chordata, Mammalia, Primates, Hominidae. The record is from Ensembl.